Molecule: small nucleolar RNA, 96 nt
Filed under: Vicugna pacos (alpaca)
Lineage: Eukaryota; Metazoa; Chordata; Mammalia; Artiodactyla; Camelidae
Description: Small nucleolar RNA U13 (ENSVPAG00000017553.1)
Rfam family: Small nucleolar RNA U13
Source: RNAcentral
AUCCCUUUUCAUGAGUGUGAUGAUUGGGUGUUCACUUGUAUGUGACUGUGCCUCCCUCAGAUCUGUUAAUGACCCUUGGUGAAUAUCUCACUGACU